GGUUUUUAAAGAUACAAAUAUUUUCUUAGAUUGUAAAACUCUCCCCAUAAACAUGCCAAAAUUAGGAAGCCCUUGCCCAGCCUAUCCAGCAAUAAAAUCAAGCCAUUUGGUUACCUCCUAAAGUGAGAAGGUUGUUAUUUCUCCCAAUUAACUAGUUUUAUAUCCUAGUUGUUAGCAAGAAUCCUGAGGCGACUUCCUUGAUUUUGGAGUCCCGAGAAAACUGGGAUGCCCGUGAGAUAAGAGUCCUGAGAGAGAAGCAUAACGUAGAUUGGGGACCUGCACAGCAUGGGGGUGCUGUUUACCUGGAGAGAAGUCAACUUCUGAUCCCAUUCCUGGGUCCCCACUCCUGCUGGCCUCACUCAAAUUUCAUUCCAGCCCAGCCUGAUGGAAUCUAUGAAAUUUCAAACUUUACAAAAACAAUGCAAAGAACAGCCACAUAACCUUUACUCAAACUCACGUAUCCUUAACAUUUGCUCAGUUUCCUUUACUAUUUGUGCUCAUGCUUGGUCUCUCUCUCUCUCCCCGUACUCAUUUUCUUUUUACACACACACACACACACACACACACACACAACUUGAGGGUAAAUUAUAUGCAUCUUGGCCCUUUAUCCUCAAUUCUUUAGUGUGUGUUCUCCUAGGAAUGGAGAUACUCUCUGCUGUGUCCGCAGUACAGUUGUCAGCUCCCUGAAUUUACAUUGCUGCAAUUCCUUAGCUUAUGCACAUCUUCCAGUAUUUGUCACUGGACGACCCCAUGAUGUCCUUCAGAGCAGUGACCUUUCCACUCGGGCACAGGGCCGGACAUUGCCUGACUGUCUUAUUGCUUUAGCAUCCUCUGUCCUGCAGCGUUUCCACAGCCUUUCUUUGUCUUUUAUGGCAUCGACAUUUUUAAAACGUUCUGAAACGUGAGCACUUUCCAGUGGGCUGGAUGCACGUGAGGAGCGUGUUCCGGCUGCUGGGCGUGUGGGCCUUUCCGUUCUCACGGAACCCCGAGAAGCAUCAGCGGCACCCCUUGCCUGUCUCCUGUCUUUUCAGGUCUGCUGGCGACGGCGACAGUUCCUCUGGAUUUAUUUAAGAAGCAGCCUUCUGGGCCACAGAGCUUCACGCUGACCAGCGGGUCUGCCUGCGGCAGCUCGGUGCUGGGCUCGGUCACGGCAGAGUUCUCUUACAUAGAACCUGGUGAAUUGAAAUCCUGGCCCAUCCCUCCCCCUGUUCCUGCUGCAAAAAUAGAAAAGGACCGCACGGUGAUGCCCUGUGGGACUGUGGUCACUACUAUCACUGCUGUGAAGACCAAGCCUCGCGUCGACAUGGGGAGGGCGUCCCCGCUGAGCUCCGAUUCUCCGGUGAGGACUCCCAUCAAGGUGAAGGUGAUCGAGAAGGACAUCUCUGUCCAGGCCAUCGCCUGCCGCAGCGCCCCCGUCAGCAAAACACUCUCUUCUUCAGACACAGAAUUGUUGGUGUUGAAUGGUUCGGAUCCAGUGGCUGAAGUUGCCAUUCGACAGCUCAGUGAAUCUUCAAAGCUGAAACUCAAGUCGCCACGGAAGAAAAGCACUAUUAUCAUAUCAGGGAUCUCCAAGACCUCACUAUCUCAGGACCACGACGCUGCCCUGAUGCAGGGCUACACAGCCUCUGUGGACAGCACCCACCAGGAGGACGCCCCAUCCCAUCCGGAGAGGGCCGCGGCCUCUGCCCUGCCAGAGGAACCCGAGUCAGCCCAGGCAUCCCUUGCCCCCAAGCCCCAGGAGGACGAGCUAGACUCCUGGGACUUGGAGAAGGAGCCACAGGCCGUGGCAUGGAGCAGCCAGGUCCUGCUGGACCCCGACGGUGAUGAGCUGUCAGAGAGUUCCGUGAGUGUCUCGGAGCCGGGCGCUGCCAAAAAGCAUAAAGGAGGAAUUCUAAGGAAAGGCGCAAAGCUGUUCUUCCGCCGGCGGCAUCAACAGAAAGACCCGGGCAUGAGUCAGUCACACAAUGACCUUGUGUUCCUGGAGCAGCCAGAGGGUUCCCGGAGGAAAGGCAUCACCCUCACCAGGAUCUUGAACAAGAAGCUGCUCUCCAGGCACAGAAACAAGAACACCAUGAACAGUGCCCCCGUGGAGCCCUGCACGUAGGGCCUGAGGUCAUCACCUCCAAGCCAUAAGACGUGCACCUGCGUUAACUACCCUCACCAGGACGCAGCCAGUGUGUCCGCCAGAUGUCCAGAUGCCCCGCUUGUCUUGCUGGGUUUCUUCCAACCAUCUCGUCAUUUAAAGGGAAAACAAAAUCUGAGUCUCCAGCCAGGAGGCUUCUCCCAGAGGGGACGAAAAAGCCCAACUUGCCACCAGAUGCCAAAUGAGACUUGACAGCCACAGAGCUUGGGCUGUGCUCAAGGCUAAGGGUUAGGGUUCAAUAUUAGAAGGAGAUUAACAUUAUAAGUGAAAUAAUAUGCUCUAAUAGAUUGUGGAGGGCAGGUUUGAGGGACUCAGUUUACCUAUUCUACACUAACAAGUGUUGUUUUGGGUCCAUGCCUGGACCAUGUCACAAAAAGGAGGUGCCUCCCUGUGCUGUCACUGUGAAUGGAAAGGAUGGGUCACCUCUCUUCAUCUGCUGCUUGGAAUAAAAAAUGCAGCUGGCCCUGAGUACAGGGAAGUGGAACAUAGGCAGGAUUUUGGAUAAAUAGAGAAAUUUUGAUAGGAAUGGAGACGCUACGACAGACGUAGGAAGUCAUCUACCUUUGAUAUUAGCCAUAGAACUUGAACACUAACUAUAUCCUAUGCAUAGUAUGCAGAACACUUUUCUAAGUUUACUUUGAGCCUACUUGCAAGUGGAAGAUAUAUAUAUUCUCACAUGGUUUUUACAUUUUUCUCUAUCGUGUUAAAAGCUCUAAUAAUGCUAGUGGAGCAGUUGACAUCCAGGUUUUUUUUUUCCUGCCUGUCAUAGUUGCUAAACAAGAGCACAGCAGGCCUGUCAGAUGAAGUCAGGAGCCAUACGUGACUGCUCGUAGAACACAGUAACCAAACACAUACAUGGAUUUUGCCAAAUGCUGCCAGUAGCCAAAACAAAGUCCUUUUAGGGCAAUAGAGGAAAUUAUUUUGUGUCUCACGUGUCAGUCUUAGGAAUGGAAGUUUAAUAACAAAUGGGCCAAACUUGCAGGACAUUCCUUCUAUGAGUGCUUCAGAAUUUUGCUGUGAACAGUCCUCUUGGACACAGGUUGGGGUGCCCUUGUUUGGGUUUGUUUUGGUGGAAAACGUGAUAAACCUGGCACACCAUUUGAAUAUCCCUAAGUAUCAUUCCAGUUGCUUUCCUCGUCAGUUGCCUUUUUCUAUUUCAGUUCAUCCACAGAUUUCACUUUGGUCUGCUCCUUCUGAAUGUGCCACUGCCAGUAGACAUGCUGGUCAAAGAGCAGUCAUCAUUGGGGUGAAGUGUUUUUGACAGUUUAAUAUGAUUCACUUUUCUCCAAAGACAUGUAAAAGGCUGUUAGGAAAGCUUGACUUCUGUCAUGAAGAUGGAAAUGGGCAAGCUUCCUUCCGUAGCCUCUUUUGUUAAUCCUUAAACAUUCAGUAUUUCAGGGGUAAUAAAGCCACUGGUGAGUAAAAACCUAUAUAAAAACCAAAAUUAUAGGAUUUUUUUCUUUUUUAGUAAAAACCUGUAUAAAAACCAAAAUUAUCAGAUUUUUUCUUUUUUAGUAAAAACCUAUAUAAAAACCAAAAUUAUAGGAUUUUUUUCUUUUUUAGUAAAAACCUGUAUAAAAACCAAAAUUAUAGGAUAUUUUUUCUUCUUUUUUAGAGGGAGAGAUUAGAAAACAUUAGGAAUUUCACUUUAAAAUUUGCAUUGCAGACUUCUUAGGUGUUCCAGGAAUUAUUAAAAUGACUUUUUCGACCUGCUUUGUUUUUAAAAAUUAUAUUCCAGUUUUAAUCAUUGUAAAAAAAGCACCUGGAGUUUCAAAAUAUGUGAAUACAACCAAGUUUCUGUCCCUAAAGUCAGGCAUCACUGCUAGUCUUUUGGGACAGAUGGGACAGAUGUUCACUUUAAUGUUUUACUUGAAGUUUUACUGCUCUUGGCCAUGUGGUUAAAAAAAGCCUGAGACAUAUUUAAGAAUUCCAAGAGGAUAUUAUGUGUCAGAAUUUCAGACACUGAUGAGAAGUUUUUAAUUCUUUUUUGAUUUUGGAAUUCAGGUGCACUCUAUUCAAGUGCAAGGAUAUCAGAAGUUUUUUUUUAUUUAAAAAAAUUUUUUUUUGAGACGGAGUUUAACUCUGUUGCCCAGGCUGGAGUGCAAUGGCAGCUUACUGCAACCUCUGCCUCCUGGGUUCAAGCGAUUCUCCUGCCUCAGCCUCCCAAGUAGCUGGGAUUACAGGUGCGCACCACCACACCUGGCUAAUUUAUUUGUAUUUAGUAGAAAUGGAAUUUCACCAUGUUGGUCAGGCUGGUCUCAAACUCCUGACCUCAGGUGAUCCACCCACCUCGGCCUCCCAGCGUGCUGGGAUUACAGGCAUGAACCACCAGGCCGGCCCCAGAAUUUUAUAUUAAGCCUUCUUGCUCUC
RNAcentral lists this small RNA (4513 nucleotides) under Pongo abelii (Sumatran orangutan). RNAcentral's name for it is "retained intron". The record is from RNAcentral. Lineage: Eukaryota; Metazoa; Chordata; Mammalia; Primates; Hominidae.